UCCGUCCUUCUGUGGACUCUGGAACCCGUCCCUUAGGGACGGCUGCCAAACGCCUGUGGGAAAACCGACUGUGACGAAUUGGCCAUUUGGGUGAACUGACUUCUGGCCAAACUGGAGUUUGGCAGGCUGCCUAGGGGGAGUCGGACUGGCCGGAGGAAGUGAAAGUGAAGUGAAGUGGUUUGCUUCCAGAAAAGCCAGAAUCCACAGAAACUAGUUCCUGCUGCCUGUUUCUCCGGGACGGGGUCUUGUGUCGCUCAGGCUGGCCUCACAUUAACCUUGUAACUAAGUCUGUUUGUCUCUAUCUCCAGGGCUUCUCUGUGUAGCCCUGGCUGUCCUAGAACUCACUCUGUAGACCAGGUCGGCUUUCGGCUCAUAGAGAUCCCCCUGCCUCUGCCCGCAAGCGCUGGGAUUAAAGGUGUGCACCGCGACCGUGACCCACGCCUCACUCUCACAGCUCGCGACAGUCUGCCUUCCACGUCAACCCCCGAGUCAACGCUCUGGUAUCCGCCCUCCUCUGCCUCGGCCCCUCUCCCCGGCCCAGGCACCAGCAGAAGAGGGGAGCCCGGUGGGAGGAGAGCGAGCUGGACGGACAGAGGGCCCACCUGCACGUCUGCAUGAGCACCUGGAUGCUCUGGAAGAAGCCCACUUCCUUCUUGUCCUUCAGGUAAUCCAGCAUUUUCUGCAGCGGAAGUGGCAGGAGAUGGGGGGCGCUGGAGGCCUCUCGGGGACACCACCCCACCCCACCCACUCAGCUCUCUUCCCGAGAUCCUGUGCUGCGUCGGAUACCUGCUGCACUUCCGCGUUACCGCCAUUGAGGAUGGAGAUACCCAGCUUCAGGGUGGAAGACACCAUGGCUCCCGUCUCUCCUGGGGGUCACGGGGACGAGGCAAAACGAACAAAUCAACAAAGUCUCAGCCUCGGGGCUCCCCCACCAACCAAAAACAAGCAAAACCCCCUGCCAACGUAGGGACACGAAGGCAGGAGAUGAACUGUGCACAGACAGGGAGUGUGUGUGACCGAAGGGUGGACGGGAGACUGGUCGGCAGAUGUGACAGAAAAUCCGGAAGAGCCAGAGCGUGUAUGCAGGGAGCUCACAUCCUGUCCGUGUCCCAUACUCGGCCCAGAGUCCACGCCUUCUGUGAUCAGGCCCCGGGGAAGAGCCCCGUGUUCCUGUCUACCACUCUCUAGGGGAAGCCUGGCACUCCUUCUGUCGGGGAAGUGCUCGCAGAACCCGGGCUCUCAUCACCAAGAAGGAUCACAAACCCAUCCGUGCCACACUCCUGUCUCAGACAUCUUGAAACGUCACUUAAUGUUCACCUCAGUAAUCCCCGCCCCCACCACCACAUCUGCUUCAGAUAGUUAAAUAAAGGACCGUGCUGGUCAAUUCCUGAUUUGA
Molecule: long non-coding RNA, 1396 nt
Organism: Meriones unguiculatus (Mongolian gerbil)
Lineage: Eukaryota; Metazoa; Chordata; Mammalia; Rodentia; Muridae
Exons: 3
Source: RefSeq, a predicted model, not a curated record